AUCGCAGAUCCAUCAGUUCCUGAAACACUGAUUGAUCCUGUUAUUUCAGUCUCAUCGGAUCGUCUCGUCACUUGUCGCUGUGUGAAUCUGAAUCAUGAGAUCAUCUGCGAUUCUGUGAAAUCUAUUCAUUACAGUCAUGUGACCAUGUUCAGAGUGAGGAAUGAAACUGCAACAACUCCAGAUGUUCUGGAUGAUGUGACUCUGUCUCUCCAGCACUCAGAUCAGUUCUGGUGGCUGUUUGCUCUCUUCAUCAUCAUCAUCAUCAUCUUCAUCAUCUUGAUGUGUUUUAUGCUGCGGAAAGAGAUCUUCAGGUG
Ctenopharyngodon idella (grass carp) is the source of this 314-nucleotide long non-coding RNA. RefSeq lists it as uncharacterized. The record is from RefSeq and is a predicted model, not a curated record. Lineage: Eukaryota; Metazoa; Chordata; Actinopteri; Cypriniformes; Xenocyprididae. The transcript is spliced from 5 exons.